ACCGCCACCAUGCCCGGCUAAUUUUUGCAUUUUUUAGUAGAGAUUGGGUUUCACCAUGUGGGCCAGGCUGGUCUCGAACUCCUGACCUCAAGUGAUCUGCCCGCCGUGGCCACCCAAAGUGCUGGGAUUACAGGCGUCAGCCACUGCGCCCGGCCUGAAUCCAUUUUAACAUUUAGUUUUUCAGAUUAACUCGAAGUACCCCACAGCUACACGCUAAUGAAACUAGAGGAGGCACAGCCUCAGCUCCAUGCAGGAUGGAUGCACAAGAGCAGAAUCUCCAUGGGAUGCCUUUCUGGAGCAUCAGGAUUACUGCAGGAUUUGGAAGCAACAAGUUCAAAUAAUUUUCAACGUUAACACACUGGAAAUUUAAGAGAAGUCUGGAAAGUCAUCUACCUUUAAAAACUGUCAGUCAUCUGUGCCUAAGUCAGACUUUCUCCAAGAAAAAAAAAAAAAACUCUAAGGAGAACCUAUUUUUCAUUCUUCUAAGUAGUUAAAAUUUGAAAUCACAGCAAGUCAAUAGGAAGCUCUCCUCUGCCAGUCUCCUAAAUCACAAUAUGGCCUUGGUCAAAGCUACCUAGAUGUCCUCAUACAAAUUACAAGCUAUGAUGUCCACCUCAUUCUCUUUCUGGAAGGCUGACCUUAACUGUCCUGCACAUUCCUGACAGAGCAUAUUUGCCCUUUUCCUAUACUAAUAAGCCCUAAAUCUUGUGGGUAACAGCCUGGGGAACUACCUGUCUUGCUACCACUCAAGACCAUGCUUCUGUCCACAAAUUCCCCCCAAUAAAUUACCUUUUACUGACAAA
Molecule: long non-coding RNA, 803 nt
Filed under: Pongo abelii (Sumatran orangutan)
Lineage: Eukaryota; Metazoa; Chordata; Mammalia; Primates; Hominidae
Description: lincRNA
Source: RNAcentral